GGCAGGACACUCUCUGGAGUGGAAGUUUUAUGACCUACAAUCAAACCAGGCCUGAAGUUUCUCACUCAUUAACCUGGAGCAACAAAAUGGAAAGAAUUCUGAUGACAAAGUAGAGAACCUGUCCCUUUGCUGGCUCUGAGGAUGACUGACUGUUGUGUGGGUGAGGUCUGCAGACAGAAGCCAGCUCUGCUCUCUCCAUUGAGUCUCACUCUUGUCACCCAGGCUGGAGUAUAGUGGCGCAAUCUCGGCUCACUGCAACCUCCACCUCCCGAGUUGAAGCAAUUCUACUGCCUCAGCCUCC
RNAcentral lists this long non-coding RNA (301 nucleotides) under Homo sapiens (human). Lineage: Eukaryota; Metazoa; Chordata; Mammalia; Primates; Hominidae. The record is from RNAcentral.